GACGAACGCUGGCGGCGUGCUUAACACAUGCAAGUCGAACGGAAAGGCCCUGCUUUUGUGGGGUGCUCGAGUGGCGAACGGGUGAGUAACACGUGAGUAACCUGCCCUUGACUUUGGGAUAACUUCAGGAAACUGGGGCUAAUACCGGAUAGGAGCUCCUGCUGCAUGGUGUGGGUUGGAAAGUUUCGGCGGUUGGGGAUGGACUCGCGGCUUAUCAGCUUGUUGGUGGGGUAGUGGCUUACCAAGGCUUUGACGGGUAGCCGGCCUGAGAGGGUGACCGGCCACAUGGGGACUGAGAUACGGCCCAGACUACUACGGGAGGAAGCAGUGGGGAAUAUUGCACAAUGGGCGGAAGCCUGAUGCAGCAACGCCGCGUGCGGGAUGACGGCCUUCGGGUUGUAAACCGCUUUCGCGUGUGACGAAGCGUGAGUGACGGUAAUGGGGAAAGAAGCACCGGCUAACUACGU
This 467-nucleotide ribosomal RNA is filed under the name uncultured bacterium. RNAcentral's name for it is "partial 16S ribosomal RNA". It matches the Rfam family "Bacterial small subunit ribosomal RNA", at positions 28 to 506 of the family's 1533-position model. The record is from RNAcentral.